GGGGAUUUAGCUCAGUGGUAGAGCACUUGCUUAGCAAGUGCAAGGCCCUGGGUUCGGUCCCCAGCUCCA
Molecule: transfer RNA, 69 nt
Filed under: Rattus norvegicus (Norway rat)
Lineage: Eukaryota; Metazoa; Chordata; Mammalia; Rodentia; Muridae
Rfam family: tRNA
About the family: Transfer RNA (tRNA) molecules are approximately 80 nucleotides in length. Their secondary structure includes four short double-helical elements and three loops (D, anti-codon, and T loops). Further hydrogen bonds mediate the characteristic L-shaped molecular structure. tRNAs have two regions of fundamental functional importance: the anti-codon, which is responsible for specific mRNA codon recognition, and the 3' end, to which the tRNAs corresponding amino acid is attached (by aminoacyl-tRNA synthetases). tRNAs cope with the degeneracy of the genetic code in two manners: having more than one tRNA (with a specific anti-codon) for a particular amino acid; and 'wobble' base-pairing, i.e. permitting non-standard base-pairing at the 3rd anti-codon position.
Source: Rfam by way of RNAcentral